This 73-nucleotide transfer RNA is filed under the name Streptomyces malaysiensis. Its description in RNAcentral is "tRNA-Pro". It matches the Rfam family "tRNA". From Rfam's summary of the family: Transfer RNA (tRNA) molecules are approximately 80 nucleotides in length. RNAcentral also lists the same sequence under 1 other name. Lineage: Bacteria; Bacillati; Actinomycetota; Actinomycetes; Kitasatosporales; Streptomycetaceae. The record is from RNAcentral.
CGGGAUGUAGCUCAGUAGGAAGAGCGCCCGCUUUGGGAGCGGGAGGUCGCAGGUUCGAGACCUGCUAUCCCGA